Molecule: ribosomal RNA, 641 nt
Filed under: Staphylococcus pseudintermedius
Lineage: Bacteria; Bacillati; Bacillota; Bacilli; Caryophanales; Staphylococcaceae
Description: partial 23S ribosomal RNA
Rfam family: Bacterial large subunit ribosomal RNA
Source: RNAcentral
CUUGAAACCGUGUGCUUACAAGUAGUCAGAGCCCGUUAAUGGGUGAUGGCGUGCCUUUUGUAGAAUGAACCGGCGAGUUACGAUCUGAUGCAAGGUUAAGCAGAAAAUGUGGAGCCGUAGCGAAAGCGAGUCUGAAUAGGGCGAAUGAGUAUUUGGUCGUAGACCCGAAACCAGGUGAUCUACCCUUGGUCAGGUUGAAGUUCAGGUAACACUGAAUGGAGGACCGAACCGACUUACGUUGAAAAGUGAGCGGAUGAACUGAGGGUAGCGGAGAAAUUCCAAUCGAACUUGGAGAUAGCUGGUUCUCUCCGAAAUAGCUUUAGGGCUAGCCUCAAGUGAUGAUUAUUGGAGGUAGAGCACUGUUUGGACGAGGGGCCCCUCUCGGGUUACCGAAUUCAGACAAACUCCGAAUGCCAAAUAAUUUAACUUGGGAGUCAGAAUGUGGGUGAUAAGGUCCAUAUUCGAAAGGGAAACAGCCCAGACCACCAGCUAAGGUCCCAAAAUAUAUGUUAAGUGGAAAAGGAUGUGGCGUUGCCCAGACAACUAGGAUGUUGGCUUAGAAGCAGCCAUCAUUUAAAGAGUGCGUAAUAGCUCACUAGUCGAGUGACACUGCGCCGAAAAUGUACCGGGGCUAAACAUAU